This 381-nucleotide ribosomal RNA is filed under the name uncultured bacterium. Its description in RNAcentral is "bacterial SSU rRNA". It matches the Rfam family "Bacterial small subunit ribosomal RNA", at positions 30 to 412 of the family's 1533-position model. The record is from RNAcentral.
AUUGAACGCUGGCGGCAUGCCUUACACAUGCAAGUCGAACGGCAGCGGGACCUUCGGGUGCCGGCGAGUGGCGAACGGGUGAGUAAUAUAUCGGAACGUACCUUUCAGUGGGGGAUAACGUAGCGAAAGUUACGCUAAUACCGCAUAUUCUGUGAGCAGGAAAGCAGGGGAUCGCAAGACCUUGCGCUGAUUGAGCGGCCGAUAUCAGAUUAGCUAGUUGGUGAGGUAAAGGCUCACCAAGGCGACGAUCUGUAGCGGGUCUGAGAGGAUGAUCCGCCACACUGGAACUGAGACACGGUCCAGACUCCUACGGGAGGCAGCAGUGGGGAAUUUUGGACAAUGGGCGCAAGCCUGAUCCAGCCAUGCCGCGUGAGUGAAGAA